AUUGAACGCUGGCGGCAUGCCUUACACAUGCAAGUCGAACGGCAGCACGGGAGCAAUCCUGGUGGCGAGUGGCGAACGGGUGAGUAAUAUAUCGGAACGUGCCCAGUCGUGGGGAUAACGUAGCGAAAGCUACGCUAAUACCGCAUACGAUCUAUGGAUGAAAGCGGGGGAUCGCAAGACCUCGCGCGAUUGGAGCGGCCGAUAUCAGAUUAGGUAGUUGGUGAGGUAAAGGCUCACCAAGCCGACGAUCUGUAGCUGGUCUGAGAGGACGACCAGCCACACUGGGACUGAGACACGGCCCAGACUCCUACGGGAGGCAGCAGUGGGGAAUUUUGGACAAUGGACGCAAGUCUGAUCCAGCCAUUCCGCGUGCAGGAUGAAGGCCCUCGGGUUGUAAACUGCUUUUGUACGGAACGAAAAGGUUUCUAUUAAUACUAGGAGCUCAUGACGGUACCGUAAGAAUAAGC
Molecule: ribosomal RNA, 467 nt
Filed under: uncultured bacterium
Lineage: Bacteria
Description: bacterial SSU rRNA
Rfam family: Bacterial small subunit ribosomal RNA
Source: RNAcentral